This is a long non-coding RNA of Hippoglossus stenolepis (Pacific halibut), 560 nucleotides long. RefSeq lists it as uncharacterized. The record is from RefSeq and is a predicted model, not a curated record. The transcript is spliced from 3 exons. Lineage: Eukaryota; Metazoa; Chordata; Actinopteri; Pleuronectiformes; Pleuronectidae.
AUAAAAUGUGAAGUAAAACCAUAUAUUUCACACAUUGAAAAUCACAAGGUUAAAGAUGUGAGGCUGAAGGUCAGGGCCCUGAACACCACAUGAGAUUAUUUACACCUGAGCUGUCACAUGAACAUCGUCCAUGUUCAAUACAAAACACAUAUAUAUUGAUUAUUAAUUGUUAUACAUAAUUGUUGUGUAUAAAGCAGUUAUCAGGUUUAUUAACUGUUGAUCUUCUGGAUUCUCCUUCUACACACUAACCUGCUGACCAGGUGAGGUCAGUUAGCAGCGGUUAGCAUUAGCAGGGCGAUGAACACCAUUUGUGGACUGAAAGUGAAUUGCAGCUUCUCUCCAGAGAAAACAGAAGAAACAGAAAAACACCUGAUAAAAGGAUUCUGCAGAGCUCAGUGACUCAUCCUCCGAAGGUCAGUGAACGGGGACCCUGUUUAUUGAGCUUUGGCGCCCACCAAGGGGUCUCGAUCCCGCCUUCCACUCCAGCCCCUGCGGUUCAGUAUUCCACACGGCGGGACCAGAGGGCAGCGGCGUCGAGACUUGCAUCCGGCCGGCCAUGU